CCCUUUCUUUUCCUCCUUCCCAAGUUCGUUUCUCUUUCUUCUUUCUUUUGCACAGAACCUUUCCCCUCUCUCUCUCUCUCUCUCUCUCUCUUCCAUUUUCUCUCUUCUCCUUUAUGUUUUCCAUUAAACCCUAACAUGGCCACCGCCUAUUUCCCCGGCCACCACUUAUUUCGGUUUAUCAACAAACCGUAACAUUGUCGUCAUCCCCCUUUCUCCCCCCAUAGAUUUACGAAAGUUGUGAGAUGGUGAAGUUGCAACAAUGACAAAUCUGUUUCGUUGAUUCUCGCAGUAGUGGAAAACGAUAAGGUUUAUGGUUUGGUUUCUUAUCAUUACAUUUUUUAAGUGUAUUUUUUAUAUAUCUUGAGUUUGUAGUUAAAUUCUUAGAUCUAUUUGAAAACAGUUAUGGUAUUAUGAUUUCAUUUUCGUUUACUUCUCAUUUGUUGUGUUUUUAUUUACUUUUUGUUAGGGGUUUUGAUUUCACAAGAAAGAAGAAGUAAGCAACAAAUUUUUUCAAAGGAUUUACAUGUGGUGACCACAUCUGCUAAUGGGGAGAGAGAAACUGGUGAUUUAAUUGAAAAGUCUAUGGAUAAAGUAUGUGUUCCUGGCUGCUGGAAGGGAUGGUUAUGAUUGAGAGAAAAGAAAUCAUUAUGGGCAUUUAGUAUAGUGACCAACAUCAUCAGUUAUAAUGUCAAACAUGGAUCCUAGCUUUAGCAUAUGUGAAUUUCAAAGAAUUGGUUUCUUAAUGUUCAGUGAGGAUAUUGGCUGCCUUGAUUCUUGGUCUUAGAGGGAAUUUCCCACUUCAUGAACAUAGAUCUACAAUACUCUUGGUUUUAAAACUCGAUGCAACUACUCUUGAUGGAACUAGAUCACACUACAGUUGCAAUAAAAGUGUUAAAACCUGAUGCAGCUCAUUGGAAGCAUAUGAUACACCUUAUUAGAGCUCGAAAUUGUCGCGAAUUUGAAAUUUAUGGUGGUCUUGUAUUUGGUUUGUUCUGCACCUAAAGUUUAGUGGCAUUUAGCUAUGGUGAUGUCAUUUUUUAUAAGUGAAUUAGUCGUGAUAUCAAAAAUCACUUUAUUCCAAUGACACCGAAAGAUUGUUAUGUUAUUUUAAUGACACUAGAGGUUUUGACUUGCAGGAUUUACGGGCAGGUUUUGACACUAGAGAUGGAGCACAGGGAGAAAUAUUAUAAGACCAACUUCUCCCAAGUCUCCUAUUGCAAGUGCCAGAUCCUUUGAAACUGUAAAGGGAUUAAAUGCUGAAGAUGAUUUGAUAGACGGAGUCAAACUGGAUGCUACAUAUUUGUGCACAAAUGGAAAUGCAGGAUCCGCUUUUUUCAAAAUUGUCUUCAAUGAUGCUGCUUACUGGUGGUGGCAACAGUUUCAGAAGCAAGAGAUUUUAGAGGAAUUUCCUGGAGAGAGUAACUGGUGAGUUAAUUGCAAAGUCUAUGGAGAAAGUUGGAAAAGAAGGUGUAAUAACAAUUGUUAUGAAACAAAGCAAUCAAGCAAAGUUUUUUUGAAUUUCUUUAAGGAGAAGCACAUGUUCGCUUCUAAAGGAACGGUUUCUACUCGCUCCGCACGGUGUUCUGCUCUCACCACUUAUGUUGCUAUCUCAUGGUGUUGCUAAUUUACUCUUUCCCGUUUCUUUGGGAUUUUCUCUCAUUGUCAUGUGUGAUGUUGUUGUUGUUAUGAGAAAUCUUGGCUACCAAGCUCAACUAUGUGCUUAAUACACUUCUUGAUCAAUUGUCUGGUGGAGCGACUCCAGUUCUUGAAGAGAGGCUAGAAGAAGACGUUCAACACAUUGAUAUGAUAUAUUAUCAUGAACAAAUAUUUUAACAUAUAAUGUGCAGGUGUGGUAAUAGUUGAAAUCAGUUUGAAGAAUUAUUUUAUUGAUCUUCUAAUGCUACUGGCUGUUGAUUUAAUUAUUUUUUAACAUUAAAAAUAUUGAUUGUAUUUAAUUCCAACACAAGUUGUGUUAAGUUAGACGGUAUAAAUUAUUCAUUGGCAAUAUAUUAUAAAAUAUUUUUUUGAUAGGCUAUAUCGUAAAACAAAUUGUUGAAGAUGAGAUUA
Long non-coding RNA from Vicia villosa (hairy vetch), 2067 nucleotides. RefSeq lists it as uncharacterized. The record is from RefSeq and is a predicted model, not a curated record. Lineage: Eukaryota; Viridiplantae; Streptophyta; Magnoliopsida; Fabales; Fabaceae. The transcript has 5 exons.